This 126-nucleotide small RNA is filed under the name Pseudomonadales bacterium. Its description in RNAcentral is "Guanidine-I sequence". It matches the Rfam family "Guanidine-I riboswitch aptamer". Rfam says of the family: This family represents a conserved RNA structure found upstream of the ykkC and yxkD genes in Bacillus subtilis and related genes in other bacteria. The function of this family is unclear although it has been suggested that it may function to switch on efflux pumps and detoxification systems in response to harmful environmental molecules. The record is from RNAcentral. Lineage: Bacteria; Pseudomonadati; Pseudomonadota; Gammaproteobacteria; Pseudomonadales.
GCAAUGGUCGACUAGGGUUCCGGUUCGCUGAGCAAUGCCUGCAGCGAAUGGCUGGUCCGAGAGUCGACGACCUCACGCAGUGGCCACGGCCAAGGGGUUACACGGCGGGAUAAAAGCCCGGGAGAA